CACGUAGGCGGCUAGGUCCGUCCGAUGUGAAAGCCCCCGGCUCAACCGGGGAAUUGCAUCGGAUACAGCCUGGCUUGAGGACGGUUGGGGUGAGUGGAACUCCUGGUGGAGCGGUGAAAUGCGUAGAUAUCAGGAGGAACACCGGUGGCGAAAGCGGCUCACUGGACCGUUUCUGACGCUGAGGUGCGAAAGCUAGGGGAGCAAACG
Molecule: ribosomal RNA, 207 nt
Filed under: uncultured bacterium
Lineage: Bacteria
Description: partial 16S ribosomal RNA
Rfam family: Bacterial small subunit ribosomal RNA
Source: RNAcentral